This 335-nucleotide unclassified non-coding RNA is filed under the name soil metagenome. RNAcentral's name for it is "partial contains 5.8S ribosomal RNA, internal transcribed spacer 2, and large subunit ribosomal RNA". The stretch from base 1 to 120 matches the Rfam family "5.8S ribosomal RNA", at positions 35 to 154 of the family's 154-position model. The record is from RNAcentral.
GAUGAAGAACGCAGCGAAAUGCGAUAAGUAGUGUGAAUUGCAGAAUUCAGUGAAUCAUCGAAUCUUUGAACGCACAUUGCGCCCUUUGGUAUUCCUUAGGGCAUGCCUGUUCGAGCGUCAUUUAAACCUUCAAGCCCUGCUUGGUGUUGGGUGCCUGUCCCGCCCCCGCGCGUGGACUCACCUCAAAUCCAUUGGCGGCCCCCGCAAGGCCACGAGCGCAGCAGAAACGCAAACUCGUGUGCCCGGCGGGCGGCUCCCAGAAGCUACACCCACAAGUUUGACCUCGGAUCAGGUAGGGAUACCCGCUGAACUUAAGCAUAUCAAUAAGCGGAGGA